CUAGCUAAACAGUAUAGUUUUCCAGCGACCUUGACAUAAGGUGUCCGCCACUGGUGGUUACCUGCAAAGGGGAACUCGGCAAUCUUCUGGUUGGUCACAAAUGGAUGCGUGUAAUCUUAGGAGCUGCCACAUGCGCUUGCAUCGCAAACAACUUCCAUUGGCCCUUUUCUUACAAGUAGCAAAAUGACGGAUCAGAAGCUGGAGCCCUUGACAGGUCUCAAACUUGUUACAUGGCUGCCUUUUGUUUGCCCUUUUCUUACAAUUAGCGAAAUGACGGAUCAGAAGCUGGAGCCCUUGACAGGUCUCAAACUUGCUACAUGGCUGCCUUUUGUGGGAACAUUCCUUAUUAUGUGGCCCAACGCUAGUACAUCCUUCUGUACAAAUAUGCUCCAAACAAUUCAUGGCUUCGCUGAGCUUUAAAUACAAAUUCAGCUC
RNAcentral lists this long non-coding RNA (435 nucleotides) under Nicotiana benthamiana. RNAcentral describes it as "long non-coding RNA (NBEN_LNC026785)". The record is from RNAcentral. Lineage: Eukaryota; Viridiplantae; Streptophyta; Magnoliopsida; Solanales; Solanaceae.